CUUGAAAAUUGUUGGAAACAUUUGGGAUAAUAAAGCAAGAAGACAAAGACAAAAGCAAGAAGAAACUGGCAGCCAGCCUGGACAAUCAGCCAGCAACCAGCAAAAAGCAGCAGGGUCUCAGAUAAGACAGAAGGAAAUUACAACAAAGUAGUAAUCUAAUGUGUAAAGUUGUCAAUCAAUAGAUCAGUAGUGUUGGUGUGUGGAUGUGUAAUGUUGUAGGGUGUAAACCAAAGAGAAAUGCAAAAAAAACCCAAACAAAAUUAACAUGUGGUGCCAGGGGGAGAGCCAGCGAUGAAGUCAGAAAGCAAGGAAUGGAAUGGCUUGUGCUGUCUGCCUUCAAAACAUAAUGACUUUACCCUACAUAAUUAACAUCAUUAAAAUAUUAAUAAUGAAAAAGAAA
Molecule: long non-coding RNA, 400 nt
Organism: Thunnus maccoyii (southern bluefin tuna)
Lineage: Eukaryota; Metazoa; Chordata; Actinopteri; Scombriformes; Scombridae
Exons: 2
Source: RefSeq, a predicted model, not a curated record